RNA transcript from Lutra lutra (Eurasian river otter), 4880 nucleotides. It is a transcript of the gene named schlafen like 1, with no coding region annotated. The transcript has 6 exons. Lineage: Eukaryota; Metazoa; Chordata; Mammalia; Carnivora; Mustelidae. The record is from RefSeq and is a predicted model, not a curated record.
UGUCCUUGGCCCCUGGACUCCGGAGCAGCCCCGAGGGAGCCACACAGCCAAGCUGUAGUGUGUGUCUCUACCUUGGGGUAGGAAUAGGAAUAGGAUUGAUUUCCCAGCCCUGGGCCUCAGCCCAGCCAAGAAGGCAUUGUUGACUCCCGUGAGAUCACAGAGGUGGUUGCACAGGCCCCGCCCACUUCUCCUGCAGCUUUUCUCCUGCUGGGCCCCCAGGGGAACACCCCCCCACCCCUGCUCCAGGGAGCUGCUGGUCAAGGGUCAGGGGUCCGUGGGAGCUGAGGGCUGGCAUCUCCCACGCUGUCCCAGCAACCAUCAGGAUAUGAGGGUCACAGGCCUCCCUUUUCCUCCUGUUCCUGCUUGUCCGGAAGGCCCCCACCCUGGCCGCGGUGGUCCCCAGGCCCUGACUAUCUCAAGGAGCCAAUCUGAAAAGAUGCAGGCCGGUGGUCGCUGCCCCACAGAGCGGAGGCCGGGUGUGUGGGGGUGAGUGGAGGGGCCGCUGGUUGCCAAGGGCACACAGUCAGGCAUGAGGCCCCCGGCCCGGCGGAAGGGGGCGCACUAAAGGGCCCUGGUUUGGCACUUCCUCACUUCUGCUCUCUGGACUCUGUCUAGACCAGACCAUGAGCCUCUUCAUAUUAGCUGUAGACGUACAAAGGCCAUUUUUCUGGGGGAGGGGCCGAAGCCUCCAUCUGUCAGGGGGCCUCUGCUCUAAAACCCUCCGGCCCAGCCCUGCCUGGUUCAAAGCCUCCACUAGGCUUGCACCAGCUCGGACUGGGUGAAAAACAGCAGCAGAGUGGCCGCUGCCAGUCCUAAGAGUCCUGGGUGACACCUUCCUCACCAAAGACCCCUAAAAAAGGUUUCCCUGGGGCCUGGAGGCAGCACUCAUCUCUGAUGGGCAGGAAAUCCAAAGCGUUUCCUCUCACCUGUGGACUGGUCAGGCGGGAAGACAGGAGGCCUGAGGCCCAGAAAGGGAAGUGGCAGGGCCCUCAGACCUGAGUCCUGGGCCCCUCUUCCCCUCUUGAGACACAUUCCCUUCGGUCUUCCCUUCUGUGGAAUGGAGGGGCAGGCCCCCGGGCUCUGUUGUCCACCUCAGCGCUGACUCCCCUCUUCCCUGUCCUAGGCCUUGGGUUAGUGGCAGGCGCCUUUGGCUGGCCCUCUACCCUCCCUCCCUCUCUCUGGCCCUGCCCAGCCCCUGCCCAUCUGUGAACCUCCCAGGAGCCUCAGCACCUCCUGAGCCCCCUGGGAGGCCCCGGGAGGAACAGCCGGCCGUGAGGACUCCCAGAAGCCCUUCUGAGGGAGACCUCUCCAGAGACCCCCAGGAAGAGAUCCCGCCAAACCCAGGUGCAGGAGCCCCUCAUGGAGCCCCCAGGCAAGCAGCCCCCGCAAGAGUCCCCGCCCGAGGACCCAGCCCCUGAGACCACCCCCAGCACGCACAUUCUCUACGUGGACCACCUGAACCCCCAGUUCUCGGUACCCGUGCUCGCCUGCCUUCUGCGGGACACGCUGGAGCGGCUGGAGCUGCCAGUGGCGCGCGAGCACAUCGAGGUGGUGAGGCGCCCACGGAAGGCCUACGCGCUGGUGCAGGUGACGGCCCACGAGGCCACUCUGGCAGCCCUCCCCUGGCGCCUUCAAGUGGCCCUGGAGGAGCACCAGAUCCCCAAGGAGCUGGCGGCCCGCGGGAAGGAGCUGGUGCUGGGUGAGGGCCCAGGGCCCUCGAGCGGCAAGGAGGAGGAGGAUAGCGGUCCAAGUCCCCGCUCCAACCCCAGCCCCGCCCACAGCACCCCAGCGCGGACCCGGCGGGGGUCCCGGGGCCAGCCCGGCGGCACGCGCUCCGACAGCGCCAUCGUGCGCCAGGAGAUCCAGGGUCAGGAGCGCCUCUUCCAGGGCGCCUUCCUGGGCAAUGAGACGCGCAGCGUGGAGUUCAAGCGCGGGGGCGGCGAGUACCUGAGCCUGGCCUUCAAGCACCACCUGCGGCGCUACGUGUGCGCCUUCCUCAACAGCGAGGGCGGCAGCCUGUUCGUGGGCGUCGAGGACAGCGGCUUGGUGCAGGGCGUCCGCUGCGGCCACCGCGAUGAGGACCGCGUGCGCCUGCUAGUGGACUCCAUCCUGCAGGGCUUCCAGCCCCAGGUCUUCCCCGACGCCUACACGCUCUCCUUCAUCCCGGUGGUCAGCGCCUCGGCCGGCAGCACGCCCCUCAAGGUGAUCCGCCUGAGUGUGCACGCCCCCAGGGCCCAGGCCGAGCCGCAGCUCUAUGAGACCGACCAGGGGGAGGUGUUCCUGCGGCGGGACGGGAGCAUCCAGGGCCCGCUGUCCGGCCACGCCAUCCAGGAGUGGUGCAGGCAGAAAUGGGCGGCUGAGCUGAACAAGCUGGAGCAGAGACUGAAGGCGCUGACGGCGGAGAAGGAGCAGCUCCAGCAGCAGCUGCAGCAGCCCGCGCCAGUCUCCUGCACCUGCUGCGUCCUGUGAGCGCCCGUUCUUCGUCUAGGGGACAGAGAAAUGGACAGGAAGCAGGAACACUCGGUCAUCAUCACCCUGACACCGUGUCUCCCCAGCACCCACCAGCACCUGCACAGGGUGUGACCUCCAGCCCAAGCACCCUCCAGCCACUGGUGAGGACUUCUGCUCUGGCCAUUCCCCUCAUCUCCACCAGCAGAAACAGACACACUCGAGCCAGUGUCUGAUCAUGCCAUGCUGGGCUCAAAGCCCUGCAAGAGCUCCCCAUUUCAUCAGUGGCAAAGUCUGAACAGCAGCCUACACAGUUCUGCACAACCUGGCCCAUCGGACCUCAGCCCCUUCUGCCCCUUGAGUGGGUGUGCCCCGCUACAGUGACCCACUGUCUCCUGGACACACCUGCUUCAGGGCCUUUGCACUGGCUGCUUCCCUACCUGGAAGGCCGCUCCCCCAGAGCUGCAGGAUGGUUUCUUCUGGGCUCCACCUCCAAGUGGAGGGGAUAGUCAGUUCUCUACCCGCCCUACAUCACAGAACACGUCCCUCCCCUACUUUCCUGCUUCCAGCCUCGCCACACUCCGUGGCUUUCCUUGUUGUCCCCUCCCCGCAGUAGAAUGCACCCUUCCAGGGGUAGGGAUUUGGGUCUAUUUUGUUCAUUGCUGACGUUCAGAACCUAAAACGCGGCUGGCAGGUCAUAGACGCCCUCAGCUAACUGCGGGGAAACAAGUAGGGACACUCAGCUUCGGGUCUGAGCCACUAAAAACCAUGGAAGCUGGUCAAACGGGGCAUUUCCCGGGAAGGCCCACAACACACCUGCGCAGACCUGCUCUCCCUCGUUGGUCUAGAGGUCCUUGGCCAUAUCCAUGGAGUAGAGGGAGCAGCUCUGGCCCCACGGCCCCUGGUUUGUCAGCGAGGAGACCCCGCCUGUGUGUCUCAGCUGCCCGGCGACUUGCUCAUCCCACUUACCCACAAGCUAAUAAGGGAGGCCUGUCUUGUGACACGUUACCUAUCCAAGUCCUGCUCCUCGUCCACUGGGCCCCUCAGUCACCCAAACAGGGCCCGAACCAAGUUUUCAGAGGCUCCGUGAGAACCGCACAGAGGAUGUGCUGCUGAGGAAGUCAGAGGGGGCCAAUUGUGGGCAAUUUCCAUGUGCCCAGCAAAGGCCAGAUGCUGGUCUGGGCAGUGUAGUCCUCGGAAGUGCCCUUCCUGGGACACAGCCGAUGGCGACAAAGAGCAGCCGUGUUGCUGAGCUGCUCCAGGCUGCUAAGCCUGGCCCAGACCAGCUGGCUUGAAGGGCUCCUGGCCCCCUGCCACAGCCCUCGGGGGGCAGGGCCGCUCAGGCUCUGCCAGCCCAGGAGAGCCAGCAGGGUCCCUUCUCCACAAGGUCAUCCAAGUGGCCAGCACUUAGCAACAGGUCAGCUGAGGCCACGGGACAUCCGCAAACCAUCCCACACACAACCGAAUCCUCACCGUCGUAUGGAGCGCUGCUGUCACCCUCCUCAGUGUCCUCAGUUUGGGCAAUGGCUUGUACAGAAACGAUUCAGACUCUGUGACCAGCCAGGAACGGUGGCACAUCCCGGACCGCACGGACAUUGCCCACCCGGCUGCGACAUCAAGAGCACGACACACAGAGCAUGUCUCGUUCUGCGUUAUUUAUUUCCUUAAGUUAGAGGAUACACGGAGUCUCGGCCAGAGGACAGCGGGCCCACGGCAGUGCCUGUGGUGACACCACGGUAAGAAAAUAGCUUUUCAGGUUGCAUUUCAACUGCAGUAACACCAUUCUGGAAGGACACACCGGCCUCGAGCGAAGCGGUCUGUGUAGCAGAGGCUUCGAGAGGCAGUUUCCCCAAAAGAUUCUUUGUUCUUUUUUUUUUAAGCAACCCCUUGAUACAAGGAGUACUUCCCAACCCGGGGAGGGACGCGCGGCUGAGGACAGGCAUUUUGAAACCACACCGCAGAGGGACAGACUAGUCACCAUUCACGGGACACCAAACAGACUGUUCCCUUUGGCCACCACAUCCCUGCCGCCUGUGGGCAGCGAGGGGCCCUGGGGAGUGGAUCCGUGCCGAGGCUGCUGCUGGUCUCACCACUCCUGGUGGCAGGCAGUGCCCUCAGGUUCCCAGCACCAAGCAUCGCCGGCACUCACUAAACGACCCCUCCUCACACGCGGUCCAUGGGGCACAUGUCCUCCAGGAGGAGCGACGGGCUGCACGCUUCAAUCCACGAUGACGGGAGGUAGUUGGAGAUGACCGACGGGCACUCCCCCGGCGUGUGCAUCCCCCACCCCCGCCCACAGGCCCCCCUCCCUGGCAUGGUGCCACGGGGACCACGUGGGGUAUCGACACAGGGCGGCACCGGGUAGGGGCCAGCACACGGGAUGGGACAUGUGAGUCACAAAGUCUUCCAGAUACCUUUCCCCCAUAAUAAAA